GACGAACGCUGGCGGCGUGCUUAACACAUGCAAGUCGAACGCUGAAGCUCAGCUUUUGUUGGGUGGAUGAGUGGCGAACGGGUGAGUAACACGUGAGUAACCUGCCUCCUUCUUUGGGAUAACGCCCGGAAACGGGUGCUAAUACUGGAUAUUCACUGGUCUUCGCAUGGGGGUUGGUGGAAAGGGUUUUUCUGGUGGGGGAUGGGCUCGCGGCCUAUCAGCUUGUUGGUGGGGUGAUGGCCUACCAAGGCUUUGACGGGUAGCCGGCCUGAGAGGGUGACCGGUCACGUUGGGACUGAGAUACGGCCCAGACUCCUACGGGAGGCAGCAGUGGGGAAUAUUGCACAAUGGGCGCAAGCCUGAUGCAGCGACGCCGCGUGAGGGGUGGAGGCCUUCGGGUUGUGAACCUCUUUCGCUCAUGGUCAAGCCGCAACAAUGGUUGUGGUGAGGGUAGUGGGUAAAGAAGCGCCGGCUAACUACGU
Molecule: ribosomal RNA, 482 nt
Filed under: uncultured bacterium
Lineage: Bacteria
Description: partial 16S ribosomal RNA
Rfam family: Bacterial small subunit ribosomal RNA
Source: RNAcentral